Molecule: ribosomal RNA, 500 nt
Filed under: uncultured bacterium
Lineage: Bacteria
Description: partial 16S ribosomal RNA
Rfam family: Bacterial small subunit ribosomal RNA
Source: RNAcentral
AUUGAGCGCUGGCGGCAUGCCUUACACAUGCAAGUCGAACGGCAGCACGGGAGCAAUCCUGGUGGCGAGUGGCGAACGGGUGAGUAAAGUAUCGGAACGUGCCCAGUCGUGGGGGAUAACGUAGCGAAAGUUACGCUAAUACCGCAUACGAUCUAUGGAUGAAAGCGGGGGAUCGCAAGACCUCGCGCGAUUGGAGCGGCCGAUAUCAGAUUAGGUAGUUGGUGGGGUAAAGGCUCACCAAGCCGACGAUCUGUAGCUGGUCUGAGAGGACGACCAGCCACACUGAGACUGAGACACGGCCCGGACUCCUACGGGAGGCAGCAGUGGGGAAUUUUGGGCAAUGGGCGAAAGCCUGAUCCAGCCAUGCCGCGUGCAGGAUGAAGGCCUUCGGGUUGUAAACUGCUUUUGUACGGAACGAAAAGGUUUGGGCUAAUAAGCUGAGCUCAUGACGGUACCGUAAGAAUAAGCACCGGCUAACUACGUGCCAGCCGCCGCCGUAA